RNAcentral lists this long non-coding RNA (514 nucleotides) under Homo sapiens (human). Its description in RNAcentral is "HSALNT0281690". The record is from RNAcentral. Lineage: Eukaryota; Metazoa; Chordata; Mammalia; Primates; Hominidae.
CCCAGUCUAUGCAUCCUGGGCUCUGUCCCUAAGAGGAAGCCAGACCUUUCUGCUCACCAACUCGUCCCCCUGCACCUUCCUGAUUGAAGCCACAUUCCACGUCAUGCCUGUACAUCUUCCCCUCGCCCUUCAGACCCAGGCCUUUUUUCAAAAUGGUCACAGGGUUCAACUCAGCCUAACUGGACACAGGCCUGGUCCCUGCAGCAUCGAAGAAGCCAGGGGUAGCAUCUUUGGCCAAGUCACCCACUGACCCCCACGGCCUGGCAACUUUUGUGCUUCCCACCUGCAUGUCACCUCUGGGGGUCCCUUCCCUCCAAGAACGUUGCCAUCAGGUGGUCUUUCUGAUUUCCUCUGCUUCAGCAAAGGCCUUAUUUUUUACUCAAGAGCCUGGCUUCCUGAUCUGCACAAAAGAGACUCUCCAGAUGUGUCCUGGAAAAUCCCCCAAAAGUAGGGGGAAAGGUCCCAGUCAAAGCCAAAGCAAGGAAGAGGAAAAAGAGGAAGGAGGAAACUGUCA